Onychostruthus taczanowskii (white-rumped snowfinch) is the source of this 8736-nucleotide RNA transcript. It is a transcript of the gene named pleckstrin homology and RhoGEF domain containing G4, with no coding region annotated. The transcript is spliced from 23 exons. NCBI's taxonomy places the organism in Eukaryota, Metazoa, Chordata, Aves, Passeriformes, Passeridae. The record is from RefSeq and is a predicted model, not a curated record.
GGAUUACAGUCCAGAACUCAAAGUGCUUCGGUGGUUCACGUCGGAGGGGAGAGGAGACGCCCCGUCGCACACAUGGAGGAAAAAGAGAAAAAACGCUGUCUUUGGAAGUGAGGGGGAAUAAAGGAGGCCGGGAACAUGGACUCGGAAUCCCUGGACGGCUGCAUUCAGAGUACGUUAUCAGCACUCUACCCUCCAUUUGAGGCUACCGCAGCCACUGUGCUGUGCCAAGUUUUUGAUGUGGUGGAGAAGACGUACCGUGGGGAUGGACUGCACUACCUCAUAGACUUCCUGAUUCCAGCCAAGCACAUCCUGCAGUGCAUUCAGCAGGAUGCCUGUGCUCCGUACUGCGGGUUGCUGUUUCGCCAUGCGGGCUGGCCCCUGUGUAUUCAAGAGAAGAUUAUAAUCCAGCUAGCUUCCAUUGACUGGCGAAUCUUGAAGCCUGGUGACUUCUACCUGCAGGUGGUCCCCUCUCUGAAGAAGCCUCCACGAAUUGUAUUGAAAUGUUUGGCAAAAGAUAAGCAUAAUGUAGAAGAAGUGGUGAUUCCAGAAGUUUCAUAUACCUCUAUUUUCACUCUGGAAUGGUUGAGUACGUUCAAUGGAGAGCGGAUGGGCAUAGCACUGGAAAAUUGUUUACUAACCACUGAUGACAAAAUAUUUCGUGUCCCCUGGAAUAAAGUGGUUAAUCCUGAAUUUAUAAAUAAACCAAAACUAAUUGAAAACAGUAUCAUCUCUCCAGAAAUUACAGAGGAACGUUCAAUUUUGUGCCUCCCCACGGACCGUAGUGAGUGUGUUUCACCAGACCUGAGAUCUCAGUAUCUACAGGAACAAAGUGCCAGUCGAGACAACCCUGUCAUUAGCAGCACAGCUCCACAGUUAAAUGAAGCUCUGGUCAAUGGUGUCUGUACGAGUCCUGUGACUGAAGAGAACUUGGGAAGUGACCUUGAAGGGGAGUACGUUGAGCUGGCAGAAGUUUCCCUGCCCAGAUUUGGGCCACAAACAGGAUCUUUAACUCAGUCGCUGGCAUUAAGUUAUCUAACUCAGCCCAGGGCACGAGUGAAUGAGUCUAAAGGCAAGCACAGGUUUAUUGUCAUACAAGACAGCACCUACUCCAAGAACUUAAUUCAAUCAGCACUUAUGCAGAAGGAGCACUCUCAAAUGGACACUCUGAGCACUUCUACAGAAGUUCUCAAAAAUGUUACUCCAUUGGAAGGCAACCAAGUGAUGGCACAUGGAGCACUCUCCCCAGAAGGUCAGCUGAUACCAGCUGAUCCUGGAAGUAUGGCUGAUAACUUUCCUGUGGCUGAGCCUCCUUCUUGCUGCGCAGAACAUUCAUCUGCAGAGCGGGAGAUUCACAGUGAACACUCACUGGAUUGGCAAUACACAUUGUGCAGCUACAGUGAUAUGUGUACUGGAGAUGCUGUCAGCUGCAAGGCACGAGUGCCUGAUGCCACUGGAAACAUGGAGGGAGAAGGUGAUGCACCUAGUGAAAAUGCUGGUGUUGAAACAUUGGAGCAGAGCCCAGAAGUGAUUCUAGAUGCUACUGCUGCUAAAGAGGAAAUAAUGCUGGGAGUACACACAGAACCACUGACUGAGGGUCAGAAAGGGGUGACACUGAUGGAUGCUUCUUCUGUAUCUGUCCUAGGGCCUUUGGGGCCAUGUUGCACACUAAAGGAAGCUUCUGAUGUCUCUUGCCAGGGUGUCAGUGGAAGUGUUGAGCCAGUUCAGGUCUCUACAUUGCCUGAGAAUUCAGAUGAAGGUGAGGAGGGAGACUCUCCUUCAGGGACCAUGACAGAUGUAAGCGCUUGCUGCAGCAAUAUUGAAGUAAAUAUCAGUUCUCCAUUAAGUCCUCCAGAAGAGAGCCAAGGAGAUGAAUUUGAGGUGGGAAGAAGGGACAGCCAAGAGGAAGAGUCUAAAGAAAUGUUGAAUGUAAGUGAAAAUCAGACCAGUCAUAGCCAGUGUUCUGUGCAAGCUCCAGUGGAUGGAACCUUGUUAGAUGGUGAAGAGCAAGAGCAUAAAAAGGCUGAAGAAGCCAUACCACUCACAACUGCCCAAUCAGCUGAGGAGAAUCAGAUGGCAGAACAAUUAAAUAACAGUGACCUGUUGGCUCCCAGUGCACAAGAAGAAGACUCAAGUCUGUUCCAAACCCAGAGGUCUGGAGGGAGGUUUGAGGAACCACAAAGACUGGAAAACCAUGGCUGUGAAAGUGAAGAGAACUCUGUGCUGAACCUGGAGCAUGUUGCAAUGCAGGACUUGCAGGGACAGGUAGAGAACCAGGAAAGUUGUUCUUGCAGGGAAAGGUUGAAGAUUACAGCCUCGAAAACACUGGAAUCCAUUCAAGAGGAAUUGGAGGGUGGACCACUGUCCUCAGGACCUGCUGAGGGGCAUACAGAGCCUACCACUCUGGACUCCCAGCCAGAGGUGUUGUCUGGGGCAUCACCUCCUAAAGGGGUGAUGUCAGAAGAGACAGAGACGAGAAAAGAGACAACUGGCACAGGUGUGUUGAAACCAGUAAGUGAAAGCAGUGCCCUGGAGGAAACUUCACCUCCUGUUACUCCCCCAACAUCCCCAACUUCUGGAGCUGCCUGGGGUGGUCAGUUUGCACCUACCAUAGUCAAGGAUGUGAACCCAGAAGUGCUCAGGAGUGGAGUUGCCUGCCUGCCUGGUACAAGAGACAAAUGGGGACGUGCAGUGGCCAUAAUAACGACGAGGAACACAGUCUGGUUAAACCCCCACUGCAAUACCACUGAGCUUGUACGCCUUCUUCUGUACUUGCACAGCAUCCCAAGACCAGAAUGUCAGGCUUUGGGUCUGACUGUUCUUGUGGAUGCUCGUCGCUGUUCGCCCGUUCCUGCUCUCUUCAAGGCAUUCAGCACACUGCAGGAGAUGGAUCCUCACUGUAUUCAUGGAGUCUUGCUUCUGGUUGAAAAAGAUCUGACUUUUCGGAUGGAGAAGCCACCAGCAGGACAGUUUGAAGUUCUCACCUCCAUGAAAUCCCUCCAUAAGCACAUAGACAGCUCACAGCUGCCUCUGGAACUGGAAGGGACCUUCCCUUACUGCCACCAGAACUGGCUAAGCUUCCGCAGGAAGCUGGAAUACUUGCUACAACAAUGCCAGGGUGUUUGUGCCUUCCUUCAGGGAGCUAUUAAUAAAGUGGAAUCCACAAAAUUACCAGGAAAGGCUGAGGAUGCAGCUGUGUUGCUGAGGAAUUCAAGGCAGUUGAUGAAGAAUGUUCUUGAAGAUGCAAGUUUGGUCAAGGUGCAGCAGGAGGGUGGAGCGCUCCUCGCCAGACUGGGGAAGGAGGAGUCCUCUGUUACCCUUACCCAAGACUACAGAGAUGCACUCGACGCUGCCAGCGUGCUUUAUAAUCAAGUUGAUGAGGGCGUUCACCGCCUGGUGAUGCUGUCAAACAAGCGCAUCCAGGAACUGGAGCUGGUGAUGGAGUUCGAGAAGGUGGAAGAGUGUCUUAAGGAGGUCAGCAGUUGGAUUGAGAAUGUUGGCAGAAAACGGCUAAAGGAAGCUGUCAACCUGGAUGAUUCUUUGGAGAUGCUGCUUCAAGCACAAAAGCAGUUCAAGGAGUUUGAUCUUGUUGCCAGUGAAUAUUGCAAAAGGGGACAGGAAGCAUUAAAGAAGAUGACUCAAUGGGAGGACUUUUCCUUUGUGGAUGUACAUUCUUACAGGGUAAAGCUGCAGACCUACAAAGAUGAGCUGGAGGAGUUCUGCACCCAGCUGGAUGAAACAAGGCACCGAGUCUGUGAAACAGUCAGGCUGUUUGAAUUCUUUGACAAGGCGUACGAGUGGGCCUUGGAAGGGAUGCGACACCUUGCCUGUAUCAGCAUGGAGGACUGCAGCUCCGCCGAGCACUGUGCAGAUGUGAUCAAGUCCCUUGAGAGUUACAAGAGGCAGCACCCGGACAUCAGUGCUGCCCGCUUCCAGGAGAUGAAGGAGCUGGCCUGUCGCCUGAAGAGUGACAAGGGGCUCAAGCAGUGGAAAUUUGCAUGGUCUAAAUGCCAGGAAACCAAGCUGGUUUUUGAAAAGAAACUCGAAGCAGCCUUGAGAACAAGGAAGUCUCUGCUAUCAGAGUGCAGCCCAGCUGUUGGGGAGCAGCCCCAGGCUGGCAGUGAGACUGGUACUCUGUCCCACCGGAGGCACUCUGAGGGGGCCACCUCCAGGUCCCACUGGGACAGGACUCAGAGCACAUCUCAUGGCUACAACAGAACCAACAGCUGUCUGGAGUGGACUAGGGAGAAAGCUCCCUCGCCCUCCCUGAGCUGCCCUGGUGAUGUUGAUGCUGGGGAAGUAUUUGUCUGCCAAGCUGCUCUCAGCCCUGGUCCUCCCUCAAGCAGAAUUUCUUUCACCAGCAGGGCUUGUAAGUCUCCAACGCUGCCUGAAGAAAAACCAAACCUGGAGAGCAUUUUAGAAACCCCAGAGGUGAAGCAGUCUCCUACAUCCACUCCAGUCCCUGGGAAGCUGCCUCCCAGGAAGGUCCUCCGGAAGGCUCAAAGCUUUGACCUGCCUUACGGUGAGAGCCUGUGGUCCAGCUGCCAGAGGAGCGAGCCGGCCAGAUACGGCAACACCGGCGUCUUCAUUAAGGGGCUGGAGGUGAGCAGCACUGAGCUGGUGGACAGGACGUUCGCUCUGCGGCAGCCAGCUGUGAGCAACUGGGCGGCAGACUGCCUGCUGGAGGGACAGAGGGGCUGCCUCUCCGGGUCAGAAGCCAAGAGCUGGGGCAGCAAACUGCGGCACAUCAUCGAUGAGAUGGUAACCACGGAGCAGGAAUACGUGCGGUCACUGCGCUACAUCAUCAACAGCUACUUCCCUGAGAUGGAGCGCCUCGACCUCCCCCAGGACCUGCGUGGGAAGCGCAGUGUCAUUUUUGGAAACCUGGAGAAACUCUAUGACUUCCACAGCCAAUACUUCCUUCGAGAGCUUGAGAGCUGCUGCAACCACCCACUGAGGGUCAGCCACUGCUUCCUGCGACACAAAGACCAGUUUGGAAUGUAUGCGCUGUAUAGCAAGAACAAGCCGAAGUCAGACUCGCUGCUGGCCAGCCAUGGGAAUACCUUCUUCAAGUUCAAGCAGGUGCAGCUGGGGGAUAAGAUGGAUCUGGCCUCCUACCUGCUGAAGCCCAUCCAGCGGAUGAGCAAAUAUGCCCUGCUCCUGAAGGACCUGAUCAAGGAGUGCAGCGAGGCACAAGAGCAGGAGCUGGUCUACCUCCGUGCUGCUGAGGAGAUGGUGAAGUUUCAGCUCCGGCAUGGAAAUGACCUGCUGGCCAUGGAUGCCAUCCGUGACUGUGAUGUAAACCUGAAGGAGCAGGGGCAGCUGGUGCGGCAGGACGAGUUCACCAUCUGGCUGGGCCGCAGGAAGUGCCAGCGACACGUCUUCCUCUUUGAGGACCUCAUCCUCUUCAGCAAGCCCAAGAGGAUUGAGGGUGGCUUUGAUGUGUAUAUCUACAAGCGCUCCUUCAAGACUGCAGACAUUGGUCUGACGGAGAACUGUGGGGACAGCGGCCUGCGCUUUGAGAUCUGGUUCCGAAGACGGAAGUCCAGUGACACCUACAUCCUCCAGGCCAGCUCAGCUGAGACUAAGCAGGCCUGGACCAGGGACAUUACCAAUAUCCUGUGGCAGCAGGCAGCCCGCAAUAAAGGUGUGAUUCCUUCCUGGAAUUCCUUCUGUGCCGCAAAAGAAAUCCGUAUGCAGGAGAUGGUCUCCAUGGGUGUGGGUAACAAGCCAUUCCUGGAUAUCAAACCCAGUGAGGCAGCUAUUAAUGACCGUGCUAUCGACUACAUCAUGAAAGGCAGAGGUGCCAGGACCAGAGCCUCAAUUGCAGUGUCUCUGUUUGACCAUUCCAACCCCUUCAAGAGGACACAGACGCAGCUCUCCACCAGCAGCACCCCCACUGCCUAUUCCCCUUCCUCCUCCUCCUCCCUGCUGGGGCCCCUCAACCUCCACAUGUACCUGGACCAGGCUCUGCUGCCAGGGGUCCUGGCCCCCAGACGCCCCUUGGACAUCGGCACUUGCAUCGAGGAAGAUGAGCUGGAGCACGAGACGAGCAGCCAGCCCUCAAUGACAACAGAGAGCUCAGAGUCGUCGCACUGCAUGUCAGCCACUGGCUCCAGCGGCUCCGACAGUGGCUGUGUCUCCAACGUCCCACAAGAAAGCUUCUGUGAAGACAUGGGCUCGCCCCCUUACAUGCCCGUAGGCCCACAGCACAGCUCUGCCAUGGAGGGCAGACCCAGGUUCACAAACAGCCAGUACAUUUCUGCAGUAAGUGCAAGCAGCCAAAACACUCUCUUCACUUUGCCUGCUCCUGUAACUGCCUCCCCAGUUCAAGCCGCUGCCUCUCACAGGGGGACCGAAGAUGCUGCUUUUGGGCUUGGGGUGACUGUGGGGAAGUGACGUUUCCUCUUGCAGAGACCCUCAUCCUCUGGGGUGGGCAAGAGCCCUCUGGUGCAGGAGCCACCCCUGCGGUGGCCAGGACCCCUGAGGAGAUGAGCUGGAAAGGACCUGCAGUGCUGGAGGCUGCACAAGGAAGAGAUGUUGCACAAAGAGGAGCUAUAAUGCUGCCGUGGGCUGGGGUACAUAUAUAACCUCCUGGAAUGGCUGGAGCUCUGCUGCACAUGUUGCCAAGCUCCUUUCUUGGGAGGUUUGGGCCUUUUUUGGGGAAUGAUGAGAGGGAGUAGUGGGAGCCUGUUGCUCUGAAAUGUCAGUGUGUUCCUGAGAGUUCUCAGCUGCUUCCCUUCCCACUAGAUCGUGUCCUGAUGCUGUUGUCCUCUAACCCCGUACUAACACUGGCUUCUCUCUUCUGCAGAAAGCAGGCCAGGUCACCAUAAGUCCCUCAAGAAUAGUGUGAGCCCCUCGGCCCCGCCUCAGGAAGUGGAGUUGUUGUUUGAUUGCCAUUUCAAACUCACUGAAGACCCCAGGCCUCUGACCAGCAGAAGGACACAGUCUCCAUCCGUGAAGAUAUUUUUUGCCCGUUAUCAGGCUUUUUCAAACAGCCCAAAACCUGACCUCUGCCUGAGGCGAAGUCCCAGGAAGGCUUCUGUCAACUAAAUGUAAUAGCUUUGGUGUUGGAUGGGACCUUGGGCAUUUAGAACUUAUUAGCCCUAUAUUUAUAAGUAGCAUAGCAGUUUGGGAAAAAAAAAGUAUUAUUUUUAAAGCUAUGAGUUGUACAGAUUUUUAUUACAAGUGACUCUGUUACUAUUUGUUGUGUAAGCUGCACAUUUUAUAAAGUUUUUGGAAGGACAUGAAGAGAAAUUGAGGUAUUUAAAAAAAGUAGUCUAACUUUCUGUUUCAGGGUUAUAGUGGCCUGAAGCUCAAGAUUUAAUGUCCUUCCUUAUGUUCUAAAUAUGUCUAUCGUAGCAAUAAUUUAUUUCCUUGGCUUAAUACUUUCAUCCUAAUAAAAGCAAUUUCAUUGUUACGAAUUGUUUCUUCAGAUGGUUCUUCCAGUGCCUUGGUGCUGAGCUCAUCUCUCUCAUAACCAUCUGUCAGCUUUGCCACUCUGCUGUGCCACCUCUGCUCUGAGUGCCAGCUCCACCUGUAAAUCCUCAGUGCAUUCACCAGAGAAGGGGGAGAUGCCCAGGCAGAGACUCCCCUGAUGCCAGUGGGGAGGCUGACCCAGAGAGGGGCUUUGGAGCAGCCAGCAGUAGGGGUGAGGAAGAGGGAGCUGUCUGGUGGAGCUCCGGAGGCACCAAAGUUCCUGGCUCUAAUUUUAGCCACUCGCCCCCUGUAGCUGCUGUCCCAGUGCAAGUUUCUCUCUCGCCCUGCUGGCUCCGGUUUCAGUGGCUUAGUUCAGGCUCCAUUGUGCUUUGUCCUGGCUGUGCCCCUGGUUUUGGACUGACAGGGACUGGCUCCUUGCUUCAUCUCUGACUCAGCCCCUCUUCUGGUACUUCAGUCCCACUGUUGUGGCUUGUUUGAGGAGCUUUGGUUGUGCUGGCAUUCGAGACCAACAGGUUUUGAGUGUAAUGGGUUGAUCAUAAUGCUGAACCUUAAGUGCACGUUGUUUGAAGUAACAGCAUAACUGGAGGACAAACAAACCCUGUGUUCCAAGGUGGCUUUUUCAUGAGGAACUUCCAAGGUUACUGUGUGGCUGUGACACCCUCCCUCUGUUCUCGGACAAAAUGAAAAUUAGCAUUUCUGCAAACAGUGGUUACUUGGCUGCCAAGCUCCUGUUUACUCCUGGUUUAUGCAGAGCUGUAAAUCAGGCUCCUGCAGGUGUGAGAGAAGUGCUACAUUUGGCCUGAGGAAGAAGAUGGAGUAGUAAUUUAUAUAACUGCAGUUUUUUCCCCUUGGCAGACUGGGGUGUUACAUCCCACAGCCACCCUGGAGACAGUGUUCCUUAAAGUUUGGAAAUUCCUGUACUGUAUGUAAAACACUUGUUUAUUUUUAAUAAGCUGGAUGUUUUUAAACCUUGUUCUUUUUUCAGACAGCAAAGAAAAUACGUUUGACACCUUUGUACAAAAUUGCGUGGGAAACAGUUAUACAGGGAAUAUUUUACAAGUUGCUAUUUUGAGAUAAUUGCUGGGUUAGUGCAAGGUUUCUGGACUGUCAAGACAGCAAUAGCUCAUGUCACAAGAGGGAGAGGAGUUACUAAUGCAACAAGAGGAACAUGAAACGUCUGGAAUUUCUCAGUUUCAAAGGUUUCUAAAUUGCUGGAAAAACCUUUAGCAUUGUUUACCUGACACUCUUUUUUCAGGGUUUGAUUGAUUUGUCUAAUAAAGGUUAUUUUCUUUAUAUGAA